This 465-nucleotide ribosomal RNA is filed under the name uncultured Klebsiella sp. Its description in RNAcentral is "bacterial SSU rRNA". It matches the Rfam family "Bacterial small subunit ribosomal RNA", at positions 338 to 795 of the family's 1533-position model. The record is from RNAcentral. Lineage: Bacteria; Pseudomonadati; Pseudomonadota; Gammaproteobacteria; Enterobacterales; Enterobacteriaceae.
CCUACGGGAGGCAGCAGUGGGGAAUAUUGCACAAUGGGCGCAAGCCUGAUGCAGCCAUGCCGCGUGUGUGAAGAAGGCCUUCGGGUUGUAAAGCACUUUCAGCGGGGAGGAAGGCGUUAAGGUUAAUAACCUUGUCGAUUGACGCUACCCGCAGAAGAAGCACCGGCUAACUCCGUGCCAGCAGCCGCGGUAAUACGGAGGGUGCAAGCGUUAAUCGGAAUUACUGGGCGUAAAGCGCACGCAGGCGGUCUGUCAAGUCGGAUGUGAAAUCCCCGGGCUCAACCUGGGAACUGCAUUCGAAACUGGCAGGCUAGAGUCUUGUAGAGGGGGGUAGAAUUCCAGGUGUAGCGGUGAAAUACGUAGAGAUCUGGAGGAAUACCGGUGGCGAAGGCGGCCCCCUGGACAAAGACUGACGCUCAGGUGCGAAAGCGUGGGGAGCAAACAGGAUUAGAUACCCUUGUAGUC